RNAcentral lists this transfer RNA (84 nucleotides) under Felis catus (domestic cat). It matches the Rfam family "tRNA". From Rfam's summary of the family: Transfer RNA (tRNA) molecules are approximately 80 nucleotides in length. Their secondary structure includes four short double-helical elements and three loops (D, anti-codon, and T loops). RNAcentral also lists the same sequence under 1 other name. Lineage: Eukaryota; Metazoa; Chordata; Mammalia; Carnivora; Felidae. The record is from Rfam by way of RNAcentral.
GCCUGGGUGGCUCAGUCGGUUGAGCGUCCGACUUCGGCUCAGGUCAUAUUCUCAUGUUCGUGGGUUCGAGCCCCAUGUCCGGCU